UCCUGUCUUUGUCCAAGCCAUUGCCUCCAAGUUCCAACACAAAUUUUGUUUCCUCCAGGAAGGAUUUCUUGAUUCCUCCCAUCUUUGUUGAUCUCCGCCUCUCCUGAAUCUCAACAGGAUGAACAGGCUUCAGUGUGCUGUCCACCCUGGAUCAUGUGGCCUUGCAUUGUUUGGAGGAUUAGUCUUGGUUUUCCAGCUAAACCACAUACCUCUGAAGAGCAGGGACCAGAGAAUAUUCUCCUGGACGCCUGACCCAAACACCUACUGUUUUGAUGUAAACAAACUUUUCUCUCUUGUGUUCACAUCUAGUCUCAGUGUCUUGUGUGUUCUUGUCCUUGAAGGAUUAACUAAACUCGACCUAGCUUUUAUUGUCCUAGUAAAUAGUUCAAAAUUCCCUG
RNAcentral lists this long non-coding RNA (398 nucleotides) under Dasypus novemcinctus (nine-banded armadillo). RNAcentral describes it as "lncRNA (ENSDNOG00000052077.1)". Lineage: Eukaryota; Metazoa; Chordata; Mammalia; Cingulata; Dasypodidae. The record is from RNAcentral.